GGGCGAUUGGCUCAGUGGUAGAGCGCUCGCUUCACACGCGAGAGGUCACUGGUUCGAACCCAGUAUCGCCCACCG
This 75-nucleotide transfer RNA is filed under the name Actinomycetales bacterium TMED115. Its description in RNAcentral is "tRNA-Val". It matches the Rfam family "tRNA". Rfam says of the family: Transfer RNA (tRNA) molecules are approximately 80 nucleotides in length. Their secondary structure includes four short double-helical elements and three loops (D, anti-codon, and T loops). RNAcentral also lists the same sequence under 2 other names. Lineage: Bacteria; Bacillati; Actinomycetota; Actinomycetes; Actinomycetales. The record is from RNAcentral.